UACGAAGGGGGAUAGCGUUGUUCGGAAUUACUGGGCGUAAAGCGCACGUAGGCGGAUUGGCAAGUCAGGGGUGAAAUCCCGGAGCUCAACUUCGGAACUGCCUUUGAUACUGCCUGUCUAGAGUCCGGAAGAGGUGGGUGGAAUUCCUAGUGUAGAGGUGAAAUUCGCAGAUAUUAGGAAGAACACCGGUGGCGAAGGCGGCCCACUGGUCCGGUACUGACGCUGAGGUGAGAAAUCGAGGGGAGCAAACAGG
RNAcentral lists this ribosomal RNA (253 nucleotides) under uncultured bacterium. RNAcentral describes it as "partial 16S ribosomal RNA". It matches the Rfam family "Bacterial small subunit ribosomal RNA", at positions 524 to 776 of the family's 1533-position model. The record is from RNAcentral.